AACCCAAAUACUUAAUUAAAAGAAUUAAGUAUUGUCAAGUUGGUCUAGAAUUGUGAAUUAAGAUCUAAGACAAUUGCAUAAACUUGUGGGUCAAUGGGUUAGAUGGAUUAGGUCCAUAAUUGGGUUAGACCUAAGGUUAGCUUAAAGAAAUGGACUAAAUUAGAGUAAUUGAUCAAAUCUAAUCAAAAGUUAAAUUAGAUUAGGUCAAGGACACUCUAGACUCAACUCCAAUAGUUGUAGUUGAAUGGG
Molecule: long non-coding RNA, 249 nt
Filed under: Elaeis guineensis (African oil palm)
Lineage: Eukaryota; Viridiplantae; Streptophyta; Magnoliopsida; Arecales; Arecaceae
Description: long non-coding RNA (EGUI_LNC079912)
Source: RNAcentral